GACGAACGCUGGCGGCGUGCCUAAUACAUGCAAGUAGAACGCUGAAGAGAGGAGCUUACUCUUCUUGGACGAGUUGCGAACGGGUGAGUAACGCGUAGGUAACCUGCCUUGUAGCGGGGGAUAACUAUUGGAAACGAUAGCUAAUACCGCAUAACAAUGGAUGACACAUGUCAUUUAUUUGAAAGGGGCAAUUGCUCCACUACAAGAUGGACCUGCGUUGUAUUAGCUAGUAGGUGAGGUAAUGGCUCACCUAGGCGACGAUACAUAGCCGACCUGAGAGGGUGAUCGGCCACACUGGGACUGAGACACGGCCCAGACUCCUACGGGAGGCAGCAGUAGGGAAUCUUCGGCAAUGGGGGCAACCCUGACCGAGCAACGCCGCGUGAGUGAAGAAGGGUUUCGGAUCGUAAAGCUCUGUUGUAAGUCAAGAACGGGUGUGAGAGUGGAAAGUUCACACUGUGACGGUAGCUUACCAGAAAGGGACGGCUAACUACGUG
Molecule: ribosomal RNA, 497 nt
Filed under: uncultured bacterium
Lineage: Bacteria
Description: partial 16S ribosomal RNA
Rfam family: Bacterial small subunit ribosomal RNA
Source: RNAcentral